Molecule: non-coding RNA, 2741 nt
Organism: Tetranychus urticae (two-spotted spider mite)
Lineage: Eukaryota; Metazoa; Arthropoda; Arachnida; Trombidiformes; Tetranychidae
Source: RefSeq, a predicted model, not a curated record
CUUGAAAGCAAAGCUUAAGAUCAAUUGGCAAUAAGGUCAAGGUGUUUCUUUUUUUAUGUUAGUUAUUUGUUACCAAACCAACAAAACAAAAUACUUUAACCCAUUACUUGUUUCCUCUUUUUUUCUGGUUCCAAAGAUCAACCAAUAGAGAUUUAAUUACCAUUUAAUCGAUUGCAAUUGACCAUCAUCCUAUUCAACUGACCUUAACUUGAAUCUUCUGCUGCCUUUUUUCAUCACUUUACCUUUCUACUUAUCCUCUUUUGUCAAUUGUCUCUUUGGUCUUCAUCAUCUCUUCAUACACAUCAGCAGCAACAUUAACCAUUUUAAUAGUGAUUAUCGUCAACAACAAAAAUAAAGUCAACGAUCCUUAAAUAUCUUUCCAAUUUGGCUUCUCUUCACUAACAGCGAGGCAAUUUAAAGCAAUUUCCCAGUUUUUUAUUUGAAUGUAACUUUGGUGUAAACACUGUAAGAAAAAUGAAAACAUUUUUCUCCAACUUCUUUAUCCAUGGAAGAUGAACAGGUACAAGAUAAAGGGAAAAGGUGUGUGGGUCAAUCUUGAAGCCCUUAAACCUCCUAAGACUCACCUUAACGUUAAAAAUGACGGUGGUGGUGAUGAUCAAGAAGAGAAAAGAAGAAGAAGUAGAAAGGAAUUGGGUUGAGCUAAAAAGGAGAAAAAGAAAGAUGAAAAAAAACUCUCGUCAUUCAUAGAGACACAUUAUUAUUCGGUGAAAUGAUUUUUUUCAUCAUCUUCAAGGAAACUUAUUUUCUUAUCAUCAUCAUCAUCAUCAUCAUCCUUCGUUGUUGAUGUCUUAAGAGUGUUGAGAUUGGGAGGUAAUCAGACGAAAGAAAAUCCAAAUGAAAUAUCAAAAGAAGAAUGAAAAAAUAACUGAAAACAUUUAAGUUACCUUUCAAAAGUUGAGGUUAAAUUUCAAGAAAAGCAAUAGAAAGCUAUUGGCCAGCGGAAGAAAGCAAAGACUAACCCAAAAUGGCCAAUACUUUGACGGACAAUACUAAUCAUUUUCAAACCAGAGAAAUGUUGCUCAAAUUGUGUCAAAGUUAAUUUAAAUGAUGAUUUGCUGUUGCUUUGGUCGAAAAUCGUAAUGAAAUUGAAAUCAACUUACCCGAUGGAAUCGCUUUGUAGUUGACUUUUACCAUAGAUUGGGAUAAACUGAGCGUUAUCAGGAGACCAUUAAAGAUGGACAAAGCAAAUGGAAAGUUGAAAUUCAUGUUUAAAUCAAUCCCUUUGGUCGCUUUUAAAACUGUCCUGUCACUUGUGAUUAGCGUUUUUACUUUUUUUGCUGUGUUCACUGAUUUACCAGCCAAAGUAACAACAAAGUUUAUCAAUGUAAAAGAUUAACUGAUUGUUAACCAAGUAACUUAAGGUCCAGUCAGCCGUAUAAUUUGAUGUCCAAACUGGUUGACACGGGACAAUAAACCUGUCAAUCAAUGAGCUUUUUAUUUGUCACAUGCACAUUGAUGAUGUUUAACUAGAUUUACUGUUGCAUCUCAAUUUUGGUAUCAUCAAAGAUAUCAAAGUCAUUCUCAUCUUCAUAAGGAUCAUCAUCAUCGCCAUUAUUGAUCAAAUGUUCAUCUUGAUGUUUCCCUUUAAUUCACCAAUCAAACCAAUUUCAUCGUCCACUGAAUCCAAAAUUAAGAUUGUCUAUUGUCUUAACCAGUCAAACCAAUCUAGAAAUAAUAAGAGAAAUGGAAGAAAGAAAAAAAAGGAACAAAGUUAUCAAUGAUGAACAGAAUAACAAUUAUCAUGAAAAAUUGUUCACUUGACCAUUCAUCAUGUAAUCAUGGACCCAUUUGCAUUGCUAGACAAAAAGCCCAGCCUAACAGAUGAUUGACCAUUUGGAAUGUGCAAAAGAUGUAAUUUUAUUGGAACCAUUGGAAUCAAAAUUGAACAAAAUUGUUGGAAAAUGGUGAAAAGGAAGAAAAAAGUGUUUGAAGUAACAUGAUAUAAAUCAGUUGUCAACGUUUUGUUUCAACGAUUUUCUCACUCUCUUCCAUCCCUCAUCAUCUUGAUCUCAUCUAGUUUAAUCAGUUUCAACAAUGCCUUUAUUUGAUUCAACAAAUUAUUUUUAUUUUGACUGCAAUGAUAAUAAUAAUAGUAAUAAUAACACAUGAAAUUACAUUCAAUUCACGUUUACACAUUACUAAGUUACACUUGGCUAACAAACAGAUAGCAAAUGAAUAAUAAUAUUAAUGGGAAUGUUAAUAAUGAUGAUACAAUUGUGUGUAAUCAGUUUCUCCUUUUCUUGUUUAAUAAGUUGCUCUCAUAUAAAAUAAGGUGUUUUAUAAUAAAUAAAAAAAAGAAAGUUAUAACUCAAGAAACACAAAAGUGUCUUUUAUUAUAACUUUAUUUUCACCUUUACCAGUUUAUCAACUCACACACAGGUAACAAUGAGCUCGUGAAAAUAAUUUAUUAUUAUUGUCUUCACACUGAAUAAGAUGGCAAGGUUUUGUCAUGAAUUUGUCUCUUUAACAGAAGCCAACAAAUCGGAAGGAUUUCACUUGUUCAACACUGCACUUGGAUCAUCUUCAGAUUGAAAAUUUCAAACUUGGAACAAGAAAUGUUUUUAAAGAUUUAAAAAGGAUUGACGCAAAGAUCGCUUCAAGUCAUGGCAAGAAUUUUAUGGUUUUUGGAACCAAAAAAGGAACCUUUUUCGAAGCUGAAAUUUUCUUCUUUCCAGAAAACGUUUAUUGAGUUGAGAUUGAAGUAAAUGUUAUUUACAAUC